UCUGAAUCUAACGGCAGAUUCCAGAGCCUCUGAGGAUAACGAAGAAAUUAUCUUCUAAAGGGAAUCUGUUUUCAGUGAAGUUAAGUAUCUCGUUACCUGGUCACUUCCAAUAAAGGGAGUAAGUUCAUGUAAUCGAAAUAUUUGGGGAAAUUUAUGCCAUUUUGUCCUGAGACAAUGAACUUCAAUUUAUUUUUAUUUUUAUUUUUUUUAGGUGUGGAGCACCUAAAAAAGAAGCAUCUUUGUAACUUCUUCCCCCUCCUAGUUUUUAAUCUUUUGUUAGCCAUAUCUUAUUUCAAGAGAGCAGACUCAGUCACAAACUGAAUUUAAGCCGUUUUUGAUGUCCUUUAUUACACUCGAUUUGGUUCAUAUCAGCCCUCCCUUAAUCAGUUGUUGUGGAAUCCCCACGAGGAGACAAACAGGAAGUGCCAGAUGGCCGAAUUGGAAUAAAACCCAAACUUCAUUCCCCGACCAAGAGCAUAGAAACAGAGAACCAUAACAGUAACAGGACUGACUGACAUCAUCCGCUCCCUAAUGAUAAAGGAGUCUUCGAGAAUAAUGAUGGCAGCUGAUAGUCAGUGAACCCGUACUCUGCAGAGUUUUCUAAGAUGCUGGAUUCAGAGUGCUCAAAUACGUUGGCACAUUUUGUGCUCGGAGCAACCUGGGGAGCAGUGAUCACUCUUUACGCUCAUUUUACAGCUCAGAAGGUAGAAGCCCAGAGAGAGCUGCCAUCAGCUCCAAUAAAGACCAUGAUUUCCACCGAGCAGAGAGACUUGGACUAGGUUGGCUAGGAAUAGGUUUUCCUAUAUACACUGUGUUUUGUUUGCCUGUUGCUCAGAUCCAAGAGAAGGUAUAGCCCUGAGCUGGUGUUGCAGAAAAUGUAAAGUUGGUUCAUUCUCCCCUCUUACACAUAAAAUACUUACUAAACACAUACGGAGCGCCAGCAAGAGAAAGAGGAGGCCUCUGGCACAAAAUAAAUGAAAGGCUCAUCCCUGUCUACCAAGAAUUUACAGUCUCGUGGGUAAGAUGUAAAGAGCACACAUAAAAAGAACCAGAGAAGACAUGAAUUUGCACUUGAUUCUUAAUUGACUUCACACAUCCACGUUCAAAGGCUGACAGUUUUCUGAGCGCUCAGGCUCUGCUGGAAGAGUCUCUAGGAGCGGUUCGGUGCCAAGAGGACUGCUCCAAAUGCAUGACCUUCCUCAGCCAGGCAGCAACAGUGUUCCAGAAGAGCUUGCAUUCGCCUGAAACCCAGAGAGAAAGGGGAAUCUAAGACCUUUGAGAGCCUCAGAUUGUCUGUCCCUGUGCUGGGUGGCCUCUAGUACAUACCAGCCACAGGCCCCCUCAGGCCUGGAAAGGUGAUUUCAGAUCAGGGCAUCAAACAUGGGGGAAAUGAUUGUCAGGCACAGUCUAUACUUUUCUUCACUGUUCAUUUGGAUUUCUGAGCACUGAAACCCAUAAGGAUGUGAGUUUGAUCUUUCUUCCUG
This 1484-nucleotide long non-coding RNA is filed under the name Mustela putorius furo (domestic ferret). RNAcentral's name for it is "lncRNA (ENSMPUG00000029666.1)". Lineage: Eukaryota; Metazoa; Chordata; Mammalia; Carnivora; Mustelidae. The record is from RNAcentral.